ACAUGCUGAUAUCAUAAUGUAUAUUGAAUAUAAUAGCUUGCUGAUGUUAUAUACAAAAAUAAUGUAAUUUAAUUUACAAAACAUGAUACUAGUUUACAAAAUGAAAUGGGCCCAACUGAGUGCCCUGUACAUGCCAUAAAAAGGGUAGACAAAGAUACAUAUUAAAAUGAGUAGCUACCCUGAAGACUGAGUCUUCUACAGAUGAACUGCAGCAGUUGUAAGCNNN
Molecule: long non-coding RNA, 226 nt
Filed under: Jatropha curcas
Lineage: Eukaryota; Viridiplantae; Streptophyta; Magnoliopsida; Malpighiales; Euphorbiaceae
Description: long non-coding RNA (JCUR_LNC002627)
Source: RNAcentral